GAUGAACGCUGGCGGCGUGCCUAAUACAUGCAAGUAGAACGCUGAAGCUUGGUGCUUGCACCGAGCGGAUGAGUUGCGAACGGGUGAGUAACGCGUAGGUAACCUGCCUCUUAGCGGGGGAUAACUAUUGGAAACGAUAGCUAAUACCGCAUAAAAGUCGAUAUCGCAUGAUAUUGAUUUGAAAGGUGCAAAUGCAUCACUAAGAGAUGGACCUGCGUUGUAUUAGCUAGUUGGUGAGGUAACGGCUCACCAAGGCGACGAUACAUAGCCGACCUGAGAGGGUGAUCGGCCACACUGGGAAUGAGACACGGCCCAGAAUCCUACGGGAGGCAGCAGUAGGGAAUCUUCGGCAAUGGGGGCAACCCUGACCGAGCAACGCCGCGUGAGUGAAGAAGGGUUUCGGAUCGUAAAGCUCUGUUGUAAGAGAAGAACGAGUGUGAGAGUGGAAAGUUCACACUGUGACGGUAACUUACCAGAAAGGGACGGCUAACUACGUG
RNAcentral lists this ribosomal RNA (497 nucleotides) under uncultured bacterium. RNAcentral describes it as "partial 16S ribosomal RNA". It matches the Rfam family "Bacterial small subunit ribosomal RNA", at positions 28 to 507 of the family's 1533-position model. The record is from RNAcentral.